RNAcentral lists this transfer RNA (86 nucleotides) under Candidatus Woesebacteria bacterium. RNAcentral's name for it is "tRNA-Leu". It matches the Rfam family "tRNA". Rfam says of the family: Transfer RNA (tRNA) molecules are approximately 80 nucleotides in length. RNAcentral also lists the same sequence under 1 other name. Lineage: Bacteria; Candidatus Woeseibacteriota. The record is from RNAcentral.
GCCGGGGUGGCGGAACUGGCAGACGCGCAGGAUUUAGGAUCCUGUGAGGGUUACACCUCGUGGAGGUUCGAGUCCUCUCCCCGGCA